Molecule: ribosomal RNA, 492 nt
Filed under: uncultured bacterium
Lineage: Bacteria
Description: partial 16S ribosomal RNA
Rfam family: Bacterial small subunit ribosomal RNA
Source: RNAcentral
AGUGAACGCUGGCGGUAGGCCUAACACAUGCAAGUCGAACGGCAGCACAGUAAGAGCUUGCUCUUACGGGUGGCGAGUGGCGGACGGGUGGGGAAUACAUCGGAAUCUACUUUUUCGUGGGGGAUAACGUAGGGAAACUUACGCUAAUACCGCAUACGACCUACGGGUGAAAGCAGGGGAUCUUCGGACCUUGCGCGAUUGAAUGAGCCGAUGUCGGAUUAGCUAGUUGGCGGGGUAAAGGCCCACCAAGGCGACGAUCCGUAGCUGGUCUGAGAGGAUGAUCAGCCACACUGGAACUGAGACACGGUCCAGACUCCUACGGGAGGCAGCAGUGGGGAAUAUUGGACAAUGGGCGCAAGCCUGAUCCAGCCAUACCGCGUGGGUGAAGAAGGCCUUCGGGUUGUAAAGCCCUUUUAUUGGGAAAGAAAAGCAGCAGGUUAAUACCCCGCUGUUCUGACGGUACCCAAAGAAUAAGCACCGGCUAACUUCGUG